This 492-nucleotide ribosomal RNA is filed under the name uncultured bacterium. RNAcentral's name for it is "partial 16S ribosomal RNA". It matches the Rfam family "Bacterial small subunit ribosomal RNA", at positions 29 to 507 of the family's 1533-position model. The record is from RNAcentral.
AGUGAACGCUGGCGGUAGGCCUAACACAUGCAAGUCGAACGGCAGGACACUAAUAUCUUGCUCUUCUCGGUUGCGAGUGGGGGGCGGGUGAGGGAUAUAUCCGACUCUACUUUUUUGUGGGGGUUAACGUAGGGAAACUUACGCUAAUAUCUCAUACGCCCCUCGGGUUUAAGGAUGGGAUCUUUUCACCUUUUGCGAUUGAAUUAGCCGAUGUCGGAUUAGCUAGUUGGCGGGGUAAAGGCCCACCAAGGUGACGAUCCGUAGCUGGUCUGAGAGGAUGAUCAGCCACACUGGAACUGAGACACGGUCCAGACUCCUACGGGAGGCAGCAGUGGGGAAUAUUGGACAAUGGGCGCAAGCCUGAUCCAGCCAUACCGCGUGGGUGAAGAAGGCCUUCGGGUUGUAAAGCCCUUUUGUUGGGAAAGAAAAGCAGCAGGUUAAUACCCCGCUGUUCUGACGGUACCCAAAGAAUAAGCACCGGCUAACUUCGUG